This 602-nucleotide ribosomal RNA is filed under the name uncultured Basidiomycota. Its description in RNAcentral is "eukaryotic LSU rRNA". The stretch from base 74 to 227 matches the Rfam family "5.8S ribosomal RNA". The record is from RNAcentral. Lineage: Eukaryota; Fungi; Basidiomycota.
GGUUUCAGGUCUAUGUUUACCUUCGCAAACCUCUGAAUAUGUUUAGAAAUGUUGGAAUAUAAUAUAUAUAUACAACUUUCAGCAACGGAUCUCUUGGCUCUCGCAUCGAUGAAGAACGCAGCGAAAUGCGAUAAGUAAUGUGAAUUGCAGAAUUCAGUGAAUCAUCGAAUCUUUGAACGCAUCUUGCGCUCCUUGGUAUUCCGAGGAGCAUGCCUGUUUGAGUGUCAUUAAUCUCUCAACCACACCAAUCUUUUUGGCUUGGUGUGGCUUUUGGAUGUGGGGGUUUUAUUUUGCUGGCUCCUAUCAAAUGAGGUCAGCUCCCCUGAAACUUAUUAGCGGUAUCUGAGCAGAGAGACCUACUACAGGUGUGAUAAAUUAUCUAUGCCUUGGUCAUACUGCAUGAACAGACUGUGCUGCUUCCAGUGAAUCAUUUGACAAUUUUGACCUCAAAUCAGGUAGGACUACCCGCUGAACUUAAGCAUAUCAAUAAGCGGAGGAAAAGAAACUAACAAGGAUUCCCCUAGUAACUGCGAGUGAAGCGGGAAAAGCUCAAAUUUGAAAUCUGGCAGUUCUUUUGACUGUCCGAGUUGUAAUCUAGAGAA